UUACAUUCAUAGUUCUUCACACCAGUGUGUGUAAGGGUGUGUGUAUCAAGGUUACCCUUCAGGAUGAAUUUUUUCCCACAUUCCUUACAUUCAUAGUUCUUCACACCAGUGUGUGUAAGGGUGUGUCUAUCAAGGUUACCCUUCAGGGUGAAUUUUUUCCCACAUUCCUUACAUUCAUAGUUCUUCACACCAGUGUGUGUAAGGGUGUGUGUAUCAAGGGUACUCUUCUGGAUGAAUUUUUUCCCACAUUCCUUACAUUCAUAGUUUUUCACACCAGUGUGUGUAAGGGUGUGUCUAUCAAGGUGACUCUUCAGGAUGAAUUUUUUCCCACAUUCCUUACAUUCAUAGUUCUUCACACCAGUGUGUGUAAGGGUGUGUGUAUCAAGGCUACCCUUCCGGUUGAAUUUUUUUCCACAUUCCUUACAUUCAUAGUUCUUCACACCAGUGUGUGUAAGGGUGUGUCUAUCAAGGCUACCCUUCCGGUUGAAUUUUUUCCCACAUUCCUUACAUUCAUAGUUCUUCACACCAGUGUGUGAAAGGGUGUGUGUAUCAAGGUGACUCUUCUGGAUGAAUUGUUUCCCACAUUCCUUACAUUCAUAGUUCUUCACACCAGUGUGUGUAAGGGUGUGAUAUCUGAGGCCUUGCCUUGUGGUUAAUUCUUUUCCACACUCCAGACACACAAACUUCCUCUCUCCUUUGUUGCUGUAGUUGCCAGCAGCCAGUUGCUUCAUCUGGUGACCACUGACCCUCCUGCCCCCUGCAGCAGUCUGCUCCUGCUUGUCCUGGCCACUCAUGCUGCUGUCCAGCCCUGCAGGUGAGGCGGCCCCAACCUUUGCGGAAGCUGAGUGUGUUGUUGUUGUCCUCGUUCUUUCCUUGUUCUCUUUUCCUCCAAA
This is a long non-coding RNA of Eriocheir sinensis (Chinese mitten crab), 893 nucleotides long. RefSeq lists it as uncharacterized. The record is from RefSeq and is a predicted model, not a curated record. NCBI's taxonomy places the organism in Eukaryota, Metazoa, Arthropoda, Malacostraca, Decapoda, Varunidae. The transcript has 3 exons.